GCCGGACGAGGCGCCGGACGGGCGCGCCCUCACCUGAGGCGCGGGCGCACCCUGGCCCGGGGGGACGGGCGGGCCGUACGACCGGCCGCCCGGUCC
This 96-nucleotide transfer RNA is filed under the name Actinomadura sp. NBRC 104425. Its description in RNAcentral is "tRNA-Leu". The record is from RNAcentral. Lineage: Bacteria; Bacillati; Actinomycetota; Actinomycetes; Streptosporangiales; Thermomonosporaceae.